GACGAACGCUGGCGGCGUGCUUAACACAUGCAAGUCGAACGGAAAGGCCCUGCUUUUGUGGGGUGCUCGAGUGGCGAACGGGUGAGUAACACGUGAGUAACCUGCCCUUGACUUUGGGAUAACUUCGGGAAACUGGGGCUAAUACCGGAUAGGAGCUCCUGCUGCAUGGUGGGGGUUGGAAAGUUUCGGCGGUUGGGGAUGGACUCGCGGCUUAUCAGCUUGUUGAUGGGGUAGUGGCUUACCAAGGCUUUGACGGGUAGCCGGCCUGAGAGGGUGACCGGCCACAUUGGGACUGAGAUACGGCCCAGACUCCUACGGGAGGCAGCAGUGGGGAAUAUUGCACAAUGGGCGGAAGCCUGAUGCAGCAACGCCGCGUGCGGGAUGACGGCCUUCGGGUUGUAAACCGCUUUCGCCUGUGACGAAGCGUGAGUGACGGUAAUGGGUAAAGAAGCACCGGCUAACUACGUG
Molecule: ribosomal RNA, 468 nt
Filed under: uncultured bacterium
Lineage: Bacteria
Description: partial 16S ribosomal RNA
Rfam family: Bacterial small subunit ribosomal RNA
Source: RNAcentral